This 372-nucleotide ribosomal RNA is filed under the name uncultured bacterium. Its description in RNAcentral is "bacterial SSU rRNA". It matches the Rfam family "Bacterial small subunit ribosomal RNA", at positions 28 to 418 of the family's 1533-position model. The record is from RNAcentral.
GACGAACGCUGGCGGCGUGCUUAACACAUGCAAGUCGAGCGGUAAGGCCCUUUCGGGGGUACACGAGCGGCGAACGGGUGAGUAACACGUGGGAACCUUCCUAGGGGUACGGAACAACUCAGGGAAACUUGAGCUAAUACCGUAUACGUCCGUGAGGAGAAAGAUUUAUCGCCCUUAGACGGGCCCGCGUAGGAUUAGGUAGUUGGUGGGGUAAUGGCCUACCAAGCCUACGAUCCUUAGCUGAUCUGAGAGGAUGAUCAGCCACACUGGGACUGAGACACGGCCCAGACUCCUACGGGAGGCAGCAGUGGGGAAUCUUGGACAAUGGGCGCAAGCCUGAUCCAGCCAUGCCGCGUGAGUGAAGAAGGCCUU